This 233-nucleotide ribosomal RNA is filed under the name uncultured bacterium. Its description in RNAcentral is "partial 16S ribosomal RNA". It matches the Rfam family "Bacterial small subunit ribosomal RNA", at positions 104 to 334 of the family's 1533-position model. The record is from RNAcentral.
CGGGACGGGGUGGAGUAAUGUCUGGGAAACUGCCUGAUGGAGGGGGGUAACUACUGGAAACGGUAGCUAAUACCGCAUAACGUCGCAAGACCAAGAGGGGACCUUCGGGCCUCUUGCCAUCGGAUGUGCCCAGAUGGGAUUAGCUAGUAGGUGGGGUAACGGCUCACCUAGGCGACGAUCCCUAGCUGGUCUGAGAGGAUGACCAGCCACACUGGAACUGAGACACGGUCCAG